Molecule: long non-coding RNA, 1191 nt
Filed under: Sinocyclocheilus grahami
Lineage: Eukaryota; Metazoa; Chordata; Actinopteri; Cypriniformes; Cyprinidae
Description: lncRNA (ENSSGRG00000027184.1)
Source: RNAcentral
GAUGUAAAGAAACUGAAUGCACAAAAAGCACUCUGCAGUGAAUGAAAUGUGGCAUAAACAUGCAAAUAUGCCCUAAUUUGGUUUGUUAAUAUCUCUCAGGGCAGUAAGUAAACUACGUCCUUUUAGAGGGAUUUACCUCCCUCUUAAAGUCAUCCUUCAGCCCUGUACUGGGGGCACACUUGUUCUCAAUGGAAUUACAUUUGGAAUACUUAACUGUGCAGUAAGAAUAAUACAAAUAUACUGUAAAUCAACUGGAACUUGAUUAAACUAGACCAGAACCUCUAACUAUAUGUGAAUGUACUUACAUUUCCAGAAUGCAGCUUGUCAUUCUGGCACUGAGGAUGGAGUUGGUGUGCUUUUGAUAAAUACCGGAUUAGAUCUCCUAACUUCAAACAAGCGUUACACACCAAUUUUUUCCCCACCACUGCUCAGCCCUGCACAAAUACAACAUCCGAAACCCAGCACGCCACCGUAAGCUCCACUUCAAAGCUUCAGAAACCUCAACACAGGCUUGUUUACUUUUUCUGCACCUUUGCCUGGUUCGUUUCCUCAUGUUGUGAGAGGGAGGGGUGCAUGGUCAGAGAACUGAACACAGUUUUAACUAGAUUAAGACUACACAUAUUAUUUAGUCUGUUUAGUCAGUCUGUUAGAUUCUGUUCUAUAUGGAUUUUGUAAUAAUUGAUAAAAAUGUUUAUCUUCCAUUUAAAGGAAAAGUUCACUCCAAAAUUUAAUUUCUGUCAUUUAGUCAACCCAAUAUUAAACUUUGGAAUGUUUAUGCUGUUUUUCCCCAUACAGUGAGGAUGAGGGCAACCAAAAAGAGUAAUUAUAUGAAUGUAUAUCUGCAUAUGUAUGUAUAUAUAUGAAAUAGAAAUAUGAGGAUGUGGGAUGUGUUUGUGGAUUCAUUUUAUACAGCUUAAACAUUCUAAAGAUAUAUAUCUACAAUAAUCUCAUCAAGUUUGGUCAGAGAUUUUGGGGCAAUCUUUGACAAUAAGAUGACCCUCAAAGACCACACUGCAAGGACACCACGAUCAUGCAGGUUUGAAUUGCACAAGGUUAAGAUACUGAUGUUUGUAUAUAGAACAGCUGCAGUCUCCGCACCCAUCUACGUACCACUCAGCCUUAUGAGUACUUCCCCUUCAGAAGGCUUACACCAGUAAAUGAGUGAUGCCUCAUGGUACCAUUAGACAGGCA